AUUGAACGCUGGCGGCAUGCUUUACACAUGCAAGACGAACGGUAGCAGGCCGCAAGGUGCUGACGAGUGGCGCACGGGUGAGUAAUGCAUCGGAACGUGCCCAGUCGUGGGGGAUAACUACUCGAAAGAGUAGCUAAUACCGCAUACGAUCUAUGGAUGAAAGCGGGGGACCGUAAGGCCUCGCGCGAUUGGAGCGGCCGAUGUCAGAUUAGGUAGUUGGUGGGGUAAAGGCUCACCAAGCCAACGAUCUGUAGCUGGUCUGAGAGGACGACCAGCCACACUGGGACUGAGACACGGCCCAGACUCCUACGGGAGGCAGCAGUGGGGAAUUUUGGACAAUGGGCGCAAGCCUGAUCCAGCAAUGCCGCGUGCAGGAAGAAGGCCUUCGGGUUGUAAACUGCUUUUGUACGGAACGAAACGGCUCUGGUUAAUACCCGGGGCUAAUGACGGUACCGUAAGAAUAAGCACCGGCUAACUACGUG
RNAcentral lists this ribosomal RNA (482 nucleotides) under uncultured bacterium. RNAcentral's name for it is "partial 16S ribosomal RNA". It matches the Rfam family "Bacterial small subunit ribosomal RNA", at positions 30 to 507 of the family's 1533-position model. The record is from RNAcentral.